Molecule: ribosomal RNA, 497 nt
Filed under: uncultured bacterium
Lineage: Bacteria
Description: bacterial SSU rRNA
Rfam family: Bacterial small subunit ribosomal RNA
Source: RNAcentral
AUUGAACGCUGGCGGCAUGCCUUACACAUGCAAGUCGAACGGUAACAGGUCUUCGGAUGCUGACGAGUGGCGAACGGGUGAGUAAUACAUCGGAACGUGCCCGAUCGUGGGGGAUAACGAAGCGAAAGCUUUGCUAAUACCGCAUAAGAUCUACGGAUGAAAGCAGGGGACCGCAAGGCCUUGCGCGAACGGAGCGGCCGAUGGCAGAUUAGGUAGUUGGUGGGAUAAAAGCUUACCAAGCCGACGAUCUGUAGCUGGUCUGAGAGGACGACCAGCCACACUGGGACUGAGACACGGCCCAGACUCCUACGGGAGGCAGCAGUGGGGAAUUUUGGACAAUGGGCGAAAGCCUGAUCCAGCCAUGCCGCGUGCAGGAUGAAGGCCUUCGGGUUGUAAAGCACUUUCGUUGGGGUAGGAAAGUACUACAAAGCUAAUACCUUUGAGUAGCUGACGUUACCCAAAGAAGAAGCACCGGCAAACUACUAGUGCCAGCACGG